UACGGAGGAGGCAGGCGAUGUCCGGAAUUAUUGGGCGUAAAGCGUCAGUAGGUGGCUAAUCAAGUCUGCGGUUAAAGACUGGAGCUCAACUCCAGAAGAGCCGUGGAAACUGAGAAGCUAGAGACCGGUUGGGGUAGAGUGAAUUCCCAGUGUAGCGGUGAAAUGCGUAGAGAUUGGGAAGAACACCGGUGGCUAAAGCGCUCUGCUGGACCGGAACUGUCACUGAGGUACGAAAGCUAGGGGAGCGAAUGGG
This 253-nucleotide ribosomal RNA is filed under the name uncultured bacterium. RNAcentral describes it as "partial 16S ribosomal RNA". It matches the Rfam family "Bacterial small subunit ribosomal RNA", at positions 524 to 776 of the family's 1533-position model. The record is from RNAcentral.